GGUGAAGAUGAUGACGGUAUCCAGAGAAGAAGCCCCGGCUAACUUCGUGCCAGCAGCCGCGGUAAUACGAAGGGGGCGAGCGUUGUUCGGAAUUACUGGGCGUA
Molecule: ribosomal RNA, 104 nt
Filed under: uncultured bacterium
Lineage: Bacteria
Description: partial 16S ribosomal RNA
Rfam family: Bacterial small subunit ribosomal RNA
Source: RNAcentral